GCAGCCGCGGUAAUACGUAGGUGGCAAGCGUUGUCCGGAUUUACUGGGUGUAAAGGGUGCGCAGGCGGGACUGCAAGUUGGAUGUGAAACUCCGAGGCUCAACCUCGGAACUGCAUCCAAAACUGUGGUUCUUGAGUGGAGUAGAGGUAAGCGGAAUUCCGAGUGUAGCGGUGAAAUGCGUAGAUAUUCGGAGGAACACCAGUGGCGAAGGCGGCUUACUGGGCUCUAACUGACGCUGAGGCACGAAAGCAUGGGUAGCAAACAGGAUUAGAUACCCC
RNAcentral lists this ribosomal RNA (278 nucleotides) under uncultured bacterium. RNAcentral's name for it is "partial 16S ribosomal RNA". It matches the Rfam family "Bacterial small subunit ribosomal RNA", at positions 511 to 788 of the family's 1533-position model. The record is from RNAcentral.